UAGAUUGGCUGCAGUGUGCAACAUUUUCAAAACCUUUUCAAAAGCAGAAAUGCAACAGCUAAUAAUGGAGGAAAAACUGAAGCUGGCUUCACCAAAGCCGGAGAAAGAAAAACCAAGCCAACCCAAUCUUUGAAGAUUUGUUCAGCAGUGUUAUUGUGAGUGUUGAAAUCCAGAGACAAUGGAAGUGUGAUGCUUUUGCAAGGCUGCAGCAUAGAGCACUCACUAGAUCAUGUGCUAUUUUGAUUUUUAUUAAUGGGAAAAUCGGGUAACCUUGCUAACAGGUAGCAAUAUGGCGUGUGUCUACAUUUUCAGUCAUCAAAACUAAUUGAUAGACCGUAAUCUGAUUUCCACUUUGCGAUAUAGUCUGAUCACGUGGGCCAAAACUGCUGUCCAUUUUGCUGAAACGUCGUCUAUUGGGGUUCAGUUUACGUUGGUUGGAAUUUUAUAUCUGACUUGCUAACUGUAGAAUCAUUCAGUAAAUUUUAAUGCUGAAGCAAUUUUCAAGUUUUGCUGGCCAUUUGAUGUUCAAGCUGUAAGUGGAGAUGCUGCCCAAUGACGAGAUAGUGAAAGGUGUGCUGCUGCUGUCCUUCCUUGGUGUGGAGUUAUCACUUAUCUGUGAUGUUGUGAAACCAGAACUGCCAGAUGACGGCCCAGACCUAAUGGUUGUUUUCUUUCAAUAACUUUGAGUUGUGUUGCUGUGAUGCAUGAACCAAAUGAUCAUAUGUGUUAACUAUAUUUAUUUAAGUAUAGGACAUGAAACUGAUAUCGUAGCAUUAGUUAACUGAUUAUCUCAUUCAUCCUUCGCAUUACCAUUUCUGUUGAUUACAGAAAAUACUUAAUAAAUAAAGAAAUGAAUAGAGUAAUUAA
Molecule: long non-coding RNA, 867 nt
Organism: Daphnia pulex (common water flea)
Lineage: Eukaryota; Metazoa; Arthropoda; Branchiopoda; Diplostraca; Daphniidae
Exons: 5
Source: RefSeq, a predicted model, not a curated record